UUCAUGUCUUUUGUAUUAAAGAAUUAAAUGGAUGAAAUAUGAAAUUUUAUUAAAAAAAAAAGGGGUGAAAAGAACAAAGUUUUGUUCAUCUUUGUUCAUCAUAGCCUAAAGUUAGAGAAGAGAAAGGAGAGGAGAAAGCUCUUGAAUGUUCGGUCACUUGGGGAAGAAAAUUGAAGGAAAUCCCCAACCAUAGUGGGCUUGGAGCUGUGAGGGAAUUCAGAGUGGCCACCCGUUCUGAAAGUUUGAUUUUCUUCUGGUGAACUGGACAUCCUUUUAUUUACGUUUGAAGUUUUGGGUUUUUAAAUGUAAUAAGGCCGCUUAAUUAUUUUUGAUGGUUUUAAUAUGUAUUACUAAGAUAGGUAUUACUUA
Long non-coding RNA from Gossypium arboreum, 369 nucleotides. RefSeq lists it as uncharacterized. The transcript has 2 exons. Lineage: Eukaryota; Viridiplantae; Streptophyta; Magnoliopsida; Malvales; Malvaceae. The record is from RefSeq and is a predicted model, not a curated record.